CUGAGUACGGCGGAACACGUGAAAUUCCGUCGGAAUCCGGGAGGACCAUCUCCCAAGGCUAAAUACUCCCUAGUGACCGAUAGUGAACCAGUACCGUGAGGGAAAGGUGAAAAGCACCCCGGAAGGGGAGUGAAACAGUUCCUGAAACCGUGUGCCUACAAGUAGUUAGAGCCCGUUAAUGGGUGAUAGCGUGCCUUUUGUAGAAUGAACCGGCGAGUUACGAUUUGUUGCAAGGUUAAGCGGAAAAAGCGGAGCCGUAGCGAAAGCGAGUCUGAAUAGGGCGCAUAAGUAACAGGUCGUAGACCCGAAACCAGGUGAUCUACCCAUGUCCAGGAUGAAGGUAAGGUAAUACUUACUGGAGGUCCGAACCCACGCACGUUGAAAAGUGCGGGGAUGAGGUGUGGGUAGCGGAGAAAUUCCAAUCGAACUUGGAGAUAGCUGGUUCUCUCCGAAAUAGCUUUAGGGCUAGCCUCGAGGUAAAGAGUCAUGGAGGUAGAGCACUGUUUGGACUAGGGGCCCUUCUCGGGUUACCGAAUUCAGAUAAACUCCGAAUGCCAUGUACUUAUACUCGGGAGUCAGACUGCGAGUGAUAAGAUCCGUAGUCGAAAGGGAAACAGCCCAGACCACCAGUUAAGGUCCCCAAAUAUAUGU
This 651-nucleotide ribosomal RNA is filed under the name Listeria monocytogenes. RNAcentral's name for it is "partial 23S ribosomal RNA". It matches the Rfam family "Bacterial large subunit ribosomal RNA", at positions 408 to 1059 of the family's 2925-position model. The record is from RNAcentral. Lineage: Bacteria; Bacillati; Bacillota; Bacilli; Caryophanales; Listeriaceae.